UCCCUGGUGACUCAGAUGUUAAGGAAUCUGCCUGCAAUGCAGAAGACCCAGGUUCAAUCCCUGGUUCAGGAA
This 72-nucleotide transfer RNA is filed under the name Odocoileus virginianus texanus. It matches the Rfam family "tRNA". From Rfam's summary of the family: Transfer RNA (tRNA) molecules are approximately 80 nucleotides in length. Their secondary structure includes four short double-helical elements and three loops (D, anti-codon, and T loops). RNAcentral also lists the same sequence under 4 other names. The record is from Rfam by way of RNAcentral. Lineage: Eukaryota; Metazoa; Chordata; Mammalia; Artiodactyla; Cervidae.